RNAcentral lists this ribosomal RNA (368 nucleotides) under uncultured bacterium. Its description in RNAcentral is "bacterial SSU rRNA". It matches the Rfam family "Bacterial small subunit ribosomal RNA", at positions 505 to 874 of the family's 1533-position model. The record is from RNAcentral.
GUGCCAGCCGCGGCGGUAAGACGGAGGGUGCUAGCGUUGUUCGGAAUUACUGGGCGUAAAGGGCGCGUAGGCGGCCAUGUAAGUCGGGUGUGAAAGCCCGGGGCUCAACCCCGGAACGGCACCCGAGACUGUGUGGCUGGAGACCGGAAGAGGUGAGUGGAAUACCCAGUGUAGAGGUGAAAUUCGUAGAUAUUGGGUGGAACACCGGUGGCGAAAGCGGCUCACUGGUCCGGUUCUGACGCUGAGGCGCGAAAGCGUGGGGAGCAAACAGGAUUAGAUACCCUGGUAGUCCACGCCCUAAACGAUGCGAGCUGGAUGUCGGGGGCUUGCCCCUCGGUGUCGAAGCCAACGUGAUAAGCUCGCCGCCU